ACAACCUCACCCUAGUACGGGUAAUGCUAAUAACAGACUUUGGUUUGUCACUAUGAAAGACAAACCAAAACAAUAAAGUGCCUAGAAUUAUCACAGUAGGAGGCUAAUUCAUUACCUGAAGAAGAGCUCGGUGUAGCUUGAAAGCUUGUCUCUCUUCCAAACAGAAGUUAGUCCAAUAAAAGAUAUUACCUCAACCACCUUGUCUUUAAUUCAUUAGAGUGAAAAAGCAGCAGUGGGGGAACUUGAGCCAUCUUGACCGGUACCAUUGAGGGGAAAACAUCUCCAACACCUGUUCAUGAGGAGUGCACACACCUACAGUGGAACAGACAUGCACAAACACUCAAAGACGAACAAGACCUUGACAUGAGGAUUGAGCCUUCCAAUCAUAACUGAAAGAACGUUCAAUUUUGGGGAGAUGACCAAAACCAUAUGGGAUUCCACCAGGUAAAGCAGGGCACAAUUUGCCUCCUUUGGCUCAGCUAGGAACAGCAGUAAUGUUCUCUGAAGGAAGCACCAUCCAUCCUCUUCAAUCAAUAAUGCCUGACUUCUUCUUUGGCCGUAGAGGAGAAAAAGGAAUCCUUUAUUGAGGAAAAUGUAAAAGAGGACUCAUGCUUCUUACUUUAUGUAUAAACUAGUUCCUCUGUUUUCUUUAUCUUACUCUAGUUGCCUAAAUCAUUUACAUACAUGCUUGAUCUAUCAUCUGCUGAACAUUUUCUAUAUUUAGUCUUACUACAGCCAACGCUUCACUUGGACAGUGACCAAACUCAUCCUCUGUAUUGAUACACAUGCCAGGCAUGGCUAUUCAAUUCAGCUCUGAAGUAUCUCUAACUGGUAUUUAGUUCCAUAAAUACCCAGGUAUGCUAUUUGGGCACCUAACUGAAGCAGCCAAAUUUGAAACUUUGUCCCUACGAGAAAAUUGAUGGAAAUGAAUAUAGAUCUAAUACUGAAACCACCACUAUACCAACAGCUAGUCACCAGAAACAGAUAUACUCAAAGAUGUAAAUUCAUUUAAACUAAAUGACCUUUUAGAUAAAUAAAGAACUGCAAGUUCCACUGGGGCAGAACCUAUUUCUCAAAACUUGCAAAGUUCCAGUGUCAACAACGGGGAAAGUUAAAAUUAACAACUAAGACUGACCACAACCAACAGGCCACUGACCUAUGAACCAUCACUGAUAUCAGAUGCACAUUUCACAAAUAAAAAUGUGUUUUUUAUGAAAUCAUAACUGAAGGAGCAAGUUCUUUGACUUAAGUGUCAUCCAGUGUUUAACUCUAUCAUUUUUGACAAACAGCCUCCAACAAUUCAAAGACUAAUUUUAUCAUGUGUUCCAAAAUAUAAGUAUCAUCAUAACCAGACUAUUGGUCUAUCAAGUCAGUACUCUAUAUAUCCAGCAGAUGCUUCAGACAGGCAAAAAGCCCCAUUUUGCGCACUCAUUUAUGCAAAUCUGUAAGAGGUGGGGUACAGAAUUUCUUCCUGAGUUAAUCUGGAUUAACCUAAUGUUUGUAUAACUACAAAUGGUAUCACCUAAAGCAAUGCAAAUGUUUUUAAGAAGUCCACUGUGUGACUGCACCCUGUCUCACUGAAUUUCACAGGCUACAUACACAUGGUGUAUAAAACAUAUUUAUAUAUAUUUCAUUCAUUCAGUAUUUAGUUUAUCCUUCUGCAUGCUACUAUUUAGAACUUCAGGUCCUGAUCCCACUCCCAACUAUAUCUUUUCUGACAGUUCUUCAGUGGCAUAAGGGAGCCAA
Chelonia mydas (Green sea turtle) is the source of this 1746-nucleotide long non-coding RNA. RefSeq lists it as uncharacterized. NCBI's taxonomy places the organism in Eukaryota, Metazoa, Chordata, Testudines, Cheloniidae. The transcript is spliced from 3 exons. The record is from RefSeq and is a predicted model, not a curated record.